GCAGAUGUGGUGGAAUUGGUAGACACGCAAGCUUCAGGUGCUUGUGCCCAAAAAGCGUGAGAGUUCGAGUCUCUCCAUCUGCACCA
This 86-nucleotide transfer RNA is filed under the name Rheinheimera salexigens. RNAcentral describes it as "tRNA-Leu(cag)". It matches the Rfam family "tRNA". From Rfam's summary of the family: Transfer RNA (tRNA) molecules are approximately 80 nucleotides in length. Their secondary structure includes four short double-helical elements and three loops (D, anti-codon, and T loops). The record is from RNAcentral. Lineage: Bacteria; Pseudomonadati; Pseudomonadota; Gammaproteobacteria; Chromatiales; Chromatiaceae.